GGGACUUGUGUGCUAGGAAAUAAAUUGCCUGCUGUAACUGCCCCAGGUGUGCCUGCCUACCAGACACCCGAUCUUGCAAGACCGCCAUUAAAAGUCUCGCUUCCGCUAUUCUUUGUGUCUCUGAGUACAUUGUUUGGGUUUGGACAGGUUGAACAAAUAGAAGUUUGGAAGAGGUCAUUAAUGAUACAUCCUGGGAAGGACCCUACGCAGUCAUUUUAUCUACCCCAACCACGGUUAAGGUGGCUAGAGUAGAGUCUUGGAUACAUCACACUCAAGUCAAACCCUAGAUACUGCCAAAGGAACCCAAAAAUCCAGGAGACAACGCUAACUAUUCCUGUGAACCUCUAGAGGAUCUGCACCUGCUCUUCAAACGACAACCAAGAGGAAAGUAACUAAAAUGGUAAAUCCCCCUGGCCCUCCCUUAUCAUAUUUUUCUCUUUACUGUUCUCUUACCCCCUUUCACUCUCACUGCACCCCCUCCAUGCCACUGUACCACCAAUAGCUCCCCUUACCAAGAGUUU
This 521-nucleotide long non-coding RNA is filed under the name Homo sapiens (human). RNAcentral's name for it is "HSALNT0092642". The record is from RNAcentral. Lineage: Eukaryota; Metazoa; Chordata; Mammalia; Primates; Hominidae.